This 453-nucleotide ribosomal RNA is filed under the name Pseudomonas aeruginosa. Its description in RNAcentral is "partial 16S ribosomal RNA". The record is from RNAcentral. Lineage: Bacteria; Pseudomonadati; Pseudomonadota; Gammaproteobacteria; Pseudomonadales; Pseudomonadaceae.
UAUAUCUACGCAUUUCACCGCUACACAGGAAAUUCCACCACCCUCUACCGUACUCUAGCUCAGUAGUUUUGGAUGCAGUUCCCAGGUUGAGCCCGGGGAUUUCACAUCCAACUUGCUGAACCACCUACGCGCGCUUUACGCCCAGUAAUUCCGAUUAACGCUUGCACCCUUCGUAUUACCGCGGCUGCUGGCACGAAGUUAGCCGGUGCUUAUUCUGUUGGUAACGUCAAAACAGCAAGGUAUUAACUUACUGCCCUUCCUCCCAACUUAAAGUGCUUUACAAUCCGAAGACCUUCUUCACACACGCGGCAUGGCUGGAUCAGGCUUUCGCCCAUUGUCCAAUAUUCCCCACUGCUGCCUCCCGUAGGAGUCUGGACCGUGUCUCAGUUCCAGUGUGACUGAUCAUCCUCUCAGACCAGUUACGGAUCGUCGCCUUGGUAGGCCUUUACCCCA